UGGUUAAGACUACGACGGUAUCUGAUCGUCUUCGAUCCCCUAACUUUCGUUCUUGAUUAAUGAAAACAUCCUUGGCAAAUGCUUUCGCAGUAGUUAGUCUUCAAUAAAUCCAAGAAUUUCACCUCUGACAAUUGAAUACUAAUGCCCCCAACUAUCCCUAUUAAUCAUUACGUCGAUCCUAGAAACCAACAAAAUAGGAUCAAACGUCCUAUUUCAUUAUUCCAUGCUAAUGUAUUCAAGCCUAAGCCUGCUUUAAACACUCUAAUUUUUUCAAAGUAACAGUCCUGAUUUCCUGCAACACCAAAUUAAUGACAUUACAGUUCGUCAAGAGGGAGGAAUCAGUGAGAUCAGUACAUACCAGAGGCAUGACCAACCUACUAACCCCGAAAUUCAACUACGAGCUUUUUAACUGCAACAACUUUAAUAUACGCUAUUGGAGCU
RNAcentral lists this ribosomal RNA (441 nucleotides) under uncultured Glomus. Its description in RNAcentral is "partial 18S ribosomal RNA". The record is from RNAcentral. Lineage: Eukaryota; Fungi; Glomeromycota; Glomeromycetes; Glomerales; Glomeraceae.